RNAcentral lists this ribosomal RNA (400 nucleotides) under uncultured bacterium. RNAcentral's name for it is "bacterial SSU rRNA". It matches the Rfam family "Bacterial small subunit ribosomal RNA", at positions 355 to 746 of the family's 1533-position model. The record is from RNAcentral.
UGGGGAAUAUUGGACAAUGGGCGGAAGCCUGAUCCAGCCAUGCCGCGUGUGUGAAGAAGGCCUUUUGGUUGUAAAGCACUUUAAGCGAGGAGGAGGCUACCUGGAUUAAUACUCUGGGAUAGUGGACGUUACUCGCAGAAUAAGCACCGGCUAACUCUGUGCCAGCAGCCGCGGUAAUACAGAGGGUGCGAGCGUUAAUCGGAUUUACUGGGCGUAAAGCGUGCGUAGGCGGCUGAUUAAGUCGGAUGUGAAAUCCCUGAGCUUAACUUAGGAAUUGCAUUCGAUACUGGUCAGCUAGAGUAUGGGAGAGGAUGGUAGAAUUCCAGGUGUAGCGGUGAAAUGCGUAGAGAUCUGGAGGAACACCAAUUGCGAAGGCAGGUUACCAAGAUAUAACUGACGC